Unclassified non-coding RNA from Acromyrmex echinatior (Panamanian leafcutter ant), 2649 nucleotides. Lineage: Eukaryota; Metazoa; Arthropoda; Insecta; Hymenoptera; Formicidae. The record is from RefSeq and is a predicted model, not a curated record.
AAGAGUAGCUGUCUUAAGACAGCUUAAAGUCAUUAUUUCGAAAAGCAUGAGUUCUUCUAAAAAUUGCAAGCAUUAUUCUUUGAAAAUUUCGCUGGUGGCAUUAGUUAUAUGAUUCAAGCUCUCCCUCAACACUACACAUCUAUACCCCUCUAUCCUCAUCCCUUUACCCGACGUUUGUCUCUUUCUUUCUCCCACUCACGAACCCGAGGUACGCUCGCUCAUUCAAGCUCGACCCCAGUCGACUCGCCAACGAUUCAGUCGCGGUCGACCCGCCACGCUGCGAGCUUUGCUGAGUACGCGUCUGCUCCAAGGUGCCUUUUUCUCUCCUUCAUUCGUCUCUGCUUCUCCUAUGUUUUCUCCUGUAUCUCUAUUUGAUCACCUCCGUCUUCCUAUUGCACUAUAUUCUCUCCUUCACUCUCUUUUUUUCUCUGGGUUUCAUCUCAUUCCGAUCGAGUCAUCGUUCUUUAAGAAAGAUAAUGCAGUUCUCUUAAAGGAGCAACGAGAUUUCUGUUUAAUUCAUCAACUGAAGGAAAACGAACUCGCGAACCAGGAUUUGUUUGAUAUAUCUCCAUGGUGAAGGAGAGAAAGAAAAAGACAAAACGCUGUGUGGACGGAAGUGAGAGAUAAUCGCAAAAUUGACUUGAAGGUUCGAAAAUCUUUGGAGCUUGCUCCGCCGCAAUUCAUCGAGAGCUUGGACUCGUAUGCGACAGCGCAGCGGAUCUUGACAAUUUUCUUACAUUGCGAAUGCGCCGAUGAGAACUCGUCCCUGGAAUCACAGCGAACUUGUAAUGAAUCGCUCUGAUGUACGAGCAAACGAAUGUCGAGUGGCCGAAUAUGUCGCGAAUUCAUGUAAAGAGAAAUCAUGACCGUGGAAAAAGGACGUUAGAAUGUAUCAUCGACGACUAUCACAUUGUGCGGCUUCGCUCAAACGCGGAAACGAGCUCUUUCGAUCACGUCGGCUUCCGUUUAUGCCUAAUAAUUAAUUUAAGAUUACGGAAGAAAACUCUUAUACAAUAGUGUAUGUAUGAAUGUUUUUCAUCAAGAAAUAUAUAUCCACGAAGAGACAAGAAAAGGGGCGCGAGGAUCGUGACAGCCUCAAAGAUCGACGCAUCCGGAGAUGUUCCUCGAGGGCUGCGCGGUCCAGGGCUGGACGACUCACUUGCGUAAAAGGAUGUAUGUGCUGUCAAUAUGUGACUCGGUGAGCAACGCGCUGCGAUAAUGGAGUGAUUCGGUAGUCGUGAUAACGCCUAUGGUACACGUGCGCGAAUGCCAACAGAUACGAGGGAGUCCUGUGAGAACGUGCUGCGUCAGGUACUUGACGCUUGACAGAACCAAUUUUACUGGAAAUUGCGAGGGAUUGCAAGUGGAGAUCCGAAAACUUAUAUAAUAUUAUGGCUAAAACUAAAAAGACGCAAAUAAAAAAACGUGCUGAAAAUUGGAACACAGAGUCCAUGGAAGCUGCUCUUAAAGCAGUUGAACGGAAUAAACUCUCACAGAGAGCCAUUUGCGAAAGGUAUGGAAUUCCUGGUAGGAAUCAUAUGAAAUCUGGUACAAAGCGUCUAGAACGAAAGAGUAUUCUUACCAUAGAGCAAGAGAAAGAUUUAUCACAGCGGAUUUUGCGGAGGCAGAUAUUGGCUUACCUAUAACUUUGAAGAUGUUAAAAUAUCAGGUAUACAAGUUUUGCACAUUACAUGAAAUUUCUCAUACGUUUAACACUAUUAUGUGCACAGCAGGCAAAUCAUGGCUUGCAGAUUUCUAAAACGCAAUCUUGAAAUUUCGAAAAGGAAAGCGCAAUUUAUGAACCAAGCUCGUGCUCAAAAAUUGAACAAAUUUAUUGUAAAAGACCACUUUGAAAAGCUUAAUAACCUUUUGACAGAACUAGAUAUAAAAUUUAACCCGGAAAGGAUUUUCAACAUGGACGAAAAAGGUUAUAGAUUAACAAUGCAUCAUCAAUUGUUUUAACUCAAAAAACCGCCAAACGCAUCCACUUCACCGCAAACGAACAUGCUGAAAAUGUCACUGUAGUUGAUUGUGUGUCAGCUGUAGAUCGUGAUCCCACCAUGAUUAUCUUUAAAGGUAAACGCGAAAAGCCAGAGUUCACUGAUAAUUUACCAUCAGGAAGCAUAAUAAGUAUGGCACCAAAAGAUUUCAUGACUACUGAGCUUUUUAUAAAAUUCUUGAAUCACUUUGCUUCUUUCAAAUUUGCUGGAAAUAUUUUGCUUGUUUUUGAUGUCUCUCACCUUGAUUACACAAUUGUGGAAGCCGCUGACAAACAUGAUAUUGUAUUGUAUUGUUUACCAUCCAACACCACCCAUGAAUUACAACCACUUGACAAAUCAGUUUAUAGAUUUUUUGAUCAUUAUUGAGAUCAGGAAUUUCUAAAAUAUCAAGAUAAACAUCCAGAUAGAAAAUUCAACAAAACGAGUUUCAAUAUAGUGUUCUAAGAAAUGUGGUCAAAAUACAUGACACAAUCUAAUGUAACAAAUGGAUUUAGAACUGUAGAUUUGAUCCUGAAGCCAUUCCAGAUUCUGCUUUUGCUCCAUCAAUUCUAAUAGAGCGUCCAACAAUAAAAAAUCAAACUCCAAACAUAGCGAUAAAUUCAUUAAUAAUCAGUGAUGAUGAAGACAUUCCGUUAGCCGAAUUAUUAAA